UUCUCUGUUGCACACCAUCAGUUCUCUGUUGGCAGGUUUAUUUCAGUAGUGAGAAGAUAGUAAACCCAAGAUUUGGAAAAGGGUUAUUCUUCUUUUGGAUGAUUCUGUGAUGAAAGCAAAGGACCAGCG
This 129-nucleotide small nucleolar RNA is filed under the name Castor canadensis (American beaver). Its description in RNAcentral is "Small nucleolar RNA SNORA65 (ENSCCNG00000023605.1)". Lineage: Eukaryota; Metazoa; Chordata; Mammalia; Rodentia; Castoridae. The record is from RNAcentral.